AGGUUUCCGUAGGUGAACCUGCGGAAGGAUCAUUAUCGAAUUAUAAGCAAAGGCCGUAGCUGGCCCCUCGGGGCACUCGUGCACGCCGGAGCUCUUAAUCCACUUACACCUGUGAACUCAAUGUGGGACGUCUCUCGGGACGAUUCUCAUGUCUUUCAUAUACCCUUACGUAUGUCGCAGAAUGUCUUAUUGUUGCUUUAACGCAAUUAAAUACAACUUUCAACAACGGAUCUCUUGGCUCUCGCAUCGAUGAAGAACGCAGCGAAAUGCGAUAAGUAAUGUGAAUUGCAGAUUUUCAGUGAAUCAUCGAAUCUUUGAACGCACCUUGCGCUCCUUGGUAUUCCGAGGAGCAUGCCUGUUUGAGUGUCAUCAAAUUCUCAACUUCGCCGAUUUGUUUCGAGUGAGGCUUGGACUUGGAGCGUGCUGGUCCUUCUUUGGAUCGGCUCCUCUUCAAAUGCAUCAGCGGAGUCACCUUUGACUUGCGGUAUCGGCGUGAUAAUCGUGUUACGCCGUAGGCCGAAGCCUCGGUCCGCUUACAAUUGGUCUUCGGACCGCUUAUCGAAACUUGACCUCAAAUCAGGUAGGA
RNAcentral lists this ribosomal RNA (586 nucleotides) under uncultured Atheliaceae. RNAcentral describes it as "eukaryotic LSU rRNA". The stretch from base 215 to 369 matches the Rfam family "5.8S ribosomal RNA". The record is from RNAcentral. Lineage: Eukaryota; Fungi; Basidiomycota; Agaricomycetes; Atheliales; Atheliaceae.